Molecule: unclassified non-coding RNA, 520 nt
Filed under: uncultured Glomus
Lineage: Eukaryota; Fungi; Glomeromycota; Glomeromycetes; Glomerales; Glomeraceae
Description: SSU rRNA
Rfam family: Eukaryotic small subunit ribosomal RNA
Source: RNAcentral
AGCAGCCGCGGUAAUUCCAGCUCCAAUAGCGUAUAUUAAAGUUGCUGCAGUUAAAAAGCUCGUAGUUGAAUUUCGGGGUCAAUAUGUUGGUCGUGCCUCGGUACGUACUAGCUUAUUGGUUUCUCCCUUCUGACGAACCAUGAUGUCAUUUAUUUGGUGUUAUGGGAAAUCAGGACUGUUACUUUGAAAAAAUUAGAGUGUUUAAAGCAGGCUCACGCUUGAAUACAUUAGCAUGGAAUAAUGAAAUAGGACGUUUGAUUCUAUUUUGUUGGUUUCUAGGAUCGACGUAAUGAUUAAUAGGGAUAGUUGGGGGCAUUAGUAUUCAAUUGUCAGAGGUGAAAUUCUUGGAUUUAUUGAAGACUAACUACUGCGAAAGCAUUUGCCAAGGAUGUUUUCAUUAAUCAAGAACGAAAGUUAGGGGAUCGAAGACGAUCAGAUACCGUCGUAGUCUUAACCAUAAACUAUGCCGACUAGGGAUCGGAUGAUGUUAAUUUUUUAAUGACUCAUUCGGCGCCUUACG